This 494-nucleotide ribosomal RNA is filed under the name uncultured bacterium. RNAcentral's name for it is "bacterial SSU rRNA". It matches the Rfam family "Bacterial small subunit ribosomal RNA", at positions 8 to 507 of the family's 1533-position model. The record is from RNAcentral.
AGAGUUUGAUCAUGGCUCAGGACGAACGCUGGCGGCGUGCUUAACACAUGCAAGUCGAGCGGAAAGGCCCUUUCGGGGGUACUCGAGCGGCGAACGGGUGAGUAACACGUGAGUAAUCUGCCCUUGGCUUUGGGAUAACUACCGGGAACGGUGGCUAAUACCGAAUACGACCACUCCUUGCAUGAGGUGGUGGUGGAAAGUUUUUUCGGCCAGGGAUGUGCUCGCGGCCUAUCAGCUUGUUGGUGGGGUAAUGGCCUACCAAGGCUUCGACGGGUAGCCGGCCUGAGAGGGUGACCGGCCACACUGGGACUGAGACACGGCCCAGACUCCUACGGGAGGCAGCAGUGGGGAAUAUUGGACAAUGGGCGGAAGCCUGAUCCAGCAACGCCGCGUGAGGGAUGACGGCCUUCGGGUUGUAAACCUCUUUCAGUACCGACGAAGCGCCGAUGAUGGUGGUGACGGUAGGUACAGAAGAAGCACCGGCCAACUACGUG